This 18-nucleotide microRNA is filed under the name Zea mays. RNAcentral describes it as "microRNA miR-3076". The record is from RNAcentral. Lineage: Eukaryota; Viridiplantae; Streptophyta; Magnoliopsida; Poales; Poaceae.
UGGACCUAGAUGACACAC